Molecule: transfer RNA, 75 nt
Filed under: Cotesia glomerata
Lineage: Eukaryota; Metazoa; Arthropoda; Insecta; Hymenoptera; Braconidae
Description: tRNA-Ala
Source: RNAcentral
GAUCUGGUAGCUUGAGUGGUAGAGUUCUCGACGCGCAAUAUCGGAGUGAUUCAGGUUCGAUUCCUGGCUUGGUCC